Non-coding RNA from Cubamyces sp. BRFM 1775, 108 nucleotides. Lineage: Eukaryota; Fungi; Basidiomycota; Agaricomycetes; Polyporales; Polyporaceae. The record is from the annotation of a GenBank genome assembly.
GGCGGUAUAGCCAAGUGGUUAAGGCGACAGAUUAGAAUCAUGUGAUAGAAGUCACUGACUAGCAUCUGUUUCCCUCUGGGAGCGUAGGUUCGAACCCUACUGCCGUCG